AAAAAACGUAGGAUUUGUUUUCCCGAGGGAAUGAGGGCUAUUAUUUAAUUGUAGUGUUUACGUGGUAAUGUAAUUUGUAAUUAAAUCAUAGUAAUGAGAUAUUAAUCGGUUAUUUGGAUAUCUGGUUAUACACGAAAUAGUUUAGGCUAGAAAUUAUAUCAAAACUUAUAAGAUUAGUUAUGAGUUGUAUUAAUUAUAAAAGGAUAAUAAUUAUUAAUUGCUUUAAUAGUAUGUAUAAUAGUGUGUUAUAACAAAUAGUUUUAAGAUGAGGAUUAUUAGGUAUAUUAGGUUAAUAGUGUAUAAUGUUAGUUAAUUUGACAGUAAUAAUUAUAAUGAUAGGAUAAGUAUAUAAGUUGAUUAGAAUAAAGUGUGUUUAAUAAGUAGUAAGAUAAAAGCAAAAGAGAUUUAAGUGAAUAACUCGGCAAAUAAAUUCUAAAAUGUUUAACAAAAACAUUUCCUUUAAUUGUUUAAGGUAAAGCCUGCCCGGUGUAAAUAAACGGCUGCGGUAUCCUGACCGUACGAAGGUAGCAUAAUAAAUAGUCUUUUAAUUGGGGACUGGAAUGAAAGGUUUAAUUAGGAAUUGACUUUUUUAUUUAAAGAGGUAUAAUUUUAUUAUCAAGUAAAAAGGCUUGGUUAGUAUAAAGUGACAAGAAGACCCUAAGAGUUUUAUAAGUGUAGUAUAUGAAAUUAGUUGGAAGUAAAUUAUUAAAUAUAUGAAAUUUAUUUGACUGGGGCGGUUAAAAUAUUACCAAUUUUGGAGAUUACUUAAAUAAGAGUAGCGAAUAUAAUUAUAUCCUUUUUGGAACUCAAUAUAAAUUACCUUAGGGAUAACAGCAUAAUCUUUUUUGAGAGACCGUAUUGACAAAAAGGUUUGUGACCUCGAUGUUGGAUUUGAAUAACUAUAUGAAGCAGCAUUUAUAUAAGUUGUCUGUUCGACCAUUAAAUU
RNAcentral lists this ribosomal RNA (946 nucleotides) under Paradoloria pellucida. RNAcentral's name for it is "partial 16S ribosomal RNA". The stretch from base 429 to 582 matches the Rfam family "Archaeal large subunit ribosomal RNA", at positions 1883 to 2090 of the family's 2987-position model. Lineage: Eukaryota; Metazoa; Arthropoda; Ostracoda; Myodocopida; Cypridinidae. The record is from RNAcentral.